CCUCUGGGUCCACCUCCCACCCGUGUCUAUCGUACCUUGUUGCUUCGGCGGGCCCGCCGUUUCGACGGCCGCCGGGGAGGCCUUGCGCCCCCGGGCCCGCGCCCGCCGAAGACCCCAACAUGAACGCUGUUCUGAAAGUAUGCAGUCUGAGUUGAUUAUCGUAAUCAGUUAAAACUUUCAACAACGGAUCUCUUGGUUCCGGCAUCGAUGAAGAACGCAGCGAAAUGCGAUAAGUAAUGUGAAUUGCAGAAUUCAGUGAAUCAUCGAGUCUUUGAACGCACAUUGCGCCCCCUGGUAUUCCGGGGGGCAUGCCUGUCCGAGCGUCAUUGCUGCCCUCAAGCACGGCUUGUGUGUUGGGCCCCCGUCCCCCUCUCCCGGGGGACGGGCCCGAAAGGCAGCGGCGGCACCGCGUCCGGUCCUCGAGCGUAUGGGGCUUUGUCACCUGCUCUGUAGGCCCGGCCGGCGCCAGCCGACACCCAACUUUAUUUUUCUAAGGUUGACCUCGGAUCAGGUAGGGAUACCCGCUGAACUUAAGCAUAUCA
This 542-nucleotide ribosomal RNA is filed under the name fungal sp. AM2013. Its description in RNAcentral is "eukaryotic LSU rRNA". The stretch from base 173 to 326 matches the Rfam family "5.8S ribosomal RNA". The record is from RNAcentral. Lineage: Eukaryota; Fungi.